RNAcentral lists this ribosomal RNA (496 nucleotides) under uncultured bacterium. RNAcentral describes it as "partial 16S ribosomal RNA". It matches the Rfam family "Bacterial small subunit ribosomal RNA", at positions 28 to 507 of the family's 1533-position model. The record is from RNAcentral.
GAUGAACGCUGGCGGCGUGCCUAAUACAUGCAAGUCGAGCGAACGGACGAGAAGCUUGCUUCUCUGAUGUUAGCGGCGGACGGGUGGGAACACGGUGAUAACCUACCUUUAAAACUUGGAAUACCUUGGGAAAACGGAAGUAAAUCCGGGAUAUAUUUUUAACCGCCUGGGUCAAAAGGUGAAGACCGGCUUUGCGGCACUUAAAAGUGGGUCCGCGCUGCAUUAGCUAGUUGGUAAGGUAACGGCUUACCAAGGCAACGAUGCAUAGCCGACCUGAGAGGGUGAUCGGCCACACUGGAACUGAGACACGGUCCAGACUCCUACGGGAGGCAGCAGUAGGGAAUCUUCCGCAAUGGGCGAAAGCCUGACGGAGCAACGCCGCGUGAGUGAUGAAGGUCUUCGGAUCGUAAAACUCUGUUAUUAGGGAAGAACAUAUGUGUAAGUAACUGUGCACAUCUUGACGGUACCUAAUCAGAAAGCCACGGCUAACUACGUG